GCGUUGAAAAGCUCGGGGAUGACUUGUGGGUAGCGGUGAAAUUCCAAUCGAGCCCGGAGAUAGCUGGUUCUCCCCGAAAUAGCUUUAGGGCUAGCCUCAAGGUGAGAGAUACGGAGGUAGAGCACUGAAUGUCCUAGGGGGUAUUGCACCUACCGAAGACUAUCAAACUCCGAAUGCCGUCAUCUUAUACUUGGGAGUCAGACUGUGGGUGAUAAGAUUCAUAGUCGAAAGGGCAACAGCCCAGAUCGUCAGCUAAGGUCCCUAAAUGUAAGUUAAGUGGUAAAGGAUGUGGGAUUGCACAGACAACCAGGAUGUUGGCUUAGAAGCAGCCACUCAUUCAAAGAGUGCGUAAUAGCUCACUGGUCGAGUGAUCCUGCGCCGAAGAUUUCCGGGGCUAAAACUUACUACCGAAGCUACGGCAUCAGUAAUGAGGGGUAGGGGAGCUUCCCAUACGGGUUGAAGCAUGACCGUAAGGACAUGUGGACAGUAUGGGAGUGAGAAUGUUGGCAUGAGUAGCGAGAUGUGGGUG
This 529-nucleotide ribosomal RNA is filed under the name Clostridioides difficile. Its description in RNAcentral is "bacterial LSU rRNA". It matches the Rfam family "Bacterial large subunit ribosomal RNA", at positions 786 to 1323 of the family's 2925-position model. The record is from RNAcentral. Lineage: Bacteria; Bacillati; Bacillota; Clostridia; Peptostreptococcales; Peptostreptococcaceae.